UUCCGUCGCUAUUCAUCGCUGCCUGUGCUGUGCCAAGUUUACUUUUUAUUUGUUUUUUUGCACUUAAAUCUCUCUUGAACUCACUCUAUCCGCAUCAGAUUUCAUAUUCAAAAAAUCUCAAUAGAGAAAAUAUAAAUUUGUUAGGGGUUUUCCUCAAUUGGGAUUGUAUUGUGAAUGAAUUUUGAUUUUCUAUCAUUUAUUUCCCCGUGAUUGUUUGCCCUCUCACCCUGUUCUGUUUUUUCAAUCUGCAAUCCUAGGGUUCAAUCAAUGGCAGUUUUGCUUUUCAUUUUGUUUGUUUGGAUGUUCAAACUUUUGUUUUGAUUGUCAGAAAGUAAAAACAACUACAGCUUUGUUGUCUAGGGUUUUCGUGCUUGUUUCAUUAUCGAACAUGGCUUCCUGUACAAGCUUUGUUUGGGACAAGUCCAAAUCUGAAAAUGCAUCUUCUUCACCGGCAAAGAAGCAAAGGUGCGAGGAUUUCCCACCACCACCACCAUCUUUAUCAGAAAAAAACAGAUCCAAGAUCGAUUAUCAAAGUCUAUAUCUAUGAUUCAGAUGAUGAGAUAGAUUAUGAAGAUGUGGAUGAGUUUGGAAUGCAUGAGAUGACUGACAAGGAAUAUAAGGAGUAUUCUAGGCAGAUAAAGGACAGUGAGGGCUUUGAUGUCAUGGACUUUCCAGAGUCCUUCUCAUGCGGUAAAAUUAUUCCUAUUAUAGACCUCAAUGAUCGUGCUAACCACCUCAAAACUCUUUCUGAAUUAGCGCUCAAGGAAUACUAUGAGAAAGAGAAAACAAAGCUAGAGUUUGUGAAGUUUGUAAAGGCAAACGGGGAGCUGUGUGAGGGCCUUCAAUAUUAUAUCACCUUUGAUGUCAAGGAUGCUGACGCUGUUGAUGGUCCUAUUCUAACAUUUCAAGCUUUGGUGUGGGACGGGAUCUACAGGAUUGAAGUACUGCUUUGUAGGCUGAAAAUUAGUAAUUAGUCAAGGUAAAUAAGCUAGUUGGGCAUGAUAAUUUUGAGAGAUAUUACUUUAAAAUGAUUUCAUGUUCGCAGUUCUUUGUUUGCUUGCUGGAAAACUUUUCUAUGCUUUCUCAAUUUACAUUUAUUGUCUUAAUGAAGUAUUGCCCAUAUUGAUAUCCUCUUUUGUUUGCUUUAGUGGCAUAUUUUAACAAUGCUUAAUGACGCAGAGUAAGCAUUUAUACCCAAUAACAAUUUUACCCCAUUUGAGACGUGCAAGUGAUGGAUUUCUACAUCAUUAAACAUUCUUAUAAAUAUUCAUAUGUGAUGAAAUUAAAGCUCUCAAAGUCUUAUCUUGUUCUUUUCAUCACCAAAAUUAUUACUAUAUGUGUGGCUUUGGGAUUUUUUUUCUUGAGAACUAGUGUAUUUUCUUCUAUUACUGUUGGAUUUCCAAGUUUAUUGAGUUCAUCUUCAACUACUCUAUAUCCCAAGAUUUAGAAGGGCCCUAGGAAGCACGAACAAUACUGUGGAGGAAGGGUCUUGUGUCCGACACUUGUGGCAGACUUGACACCCUUUGGAUGCUCCUAAAAGGGUGUCUGACAUGUUUUCAACGUGUUUUAAUUAAAAAAUCAAUUGCAUAAUAUUGGAUACUUUACCAACACAUCGUGUACAUAUCUUGAUCCUUCCGAACAUGUCCUAUAUGGUGGACCUCUUCAUUAUAACAAUGUCUUGUGUCCUUAUAAUACAACUUAUGCAUUCGAAAUAUGUUUUAAAACGCUUAUUAGAAGAAUACAUCUUGUAUAAAUUAUGUUACAUGGACUUGAUUACGAGUGCUAGGUUCUGGUGUGGGUGGCAGUGCGUGCCCAACGUUAGAUCUUCAUAAAUUUAAAUUUUAGGAUAUCAAGAUAUGCACCCAAAAUGGAUAUGGGUUUGGGGAUACACCUCAAACACACACAUAUAUAUUGCAUAUUGUUUACUAUUCUUAGAUAACAUGUAGUAAAUUAUUUGGAAAUUACAUGAAAUUGAAUGGGAUCUAAGGAGCAUAAGGAAUACAUAAAUAAUUUGAUGUGUGAGAAACUAGAAAUGUUUCUUUACUAGCUAAUGUGAGUGUCUUUUCUUCAGAUAUUAGAUAAACUUAGAGGAUCUGAGUAUCUAAAUUGGAUACGGGUGUUUGACACAUAUCACACACCAUAUUUGGCGGACACGGGUAUACUAGGGGAAGUAGAAGAGUCCAUGUAACAUAGUGUGUAAUACAAUGUUCGAUAAUUGUUUUGCAUUCUUUUGAAUGUAAUUGGUAUGUGAAUGAUAUGUUGAUGUUUAAGUUAUAAAAAAAAAUUUUAAUGUAUAAAAUGUGUUGUGUUACAUAUUUUUUAUUAUCUUUGAAUAAAUUAUUCAUAAAUAUGAUAUAUAAUAAAUUUGUAAAAACAUAAAAUUUUAACGUGUACCAAGCAUGUUGUGUCCUACUUUCUUUUAUGAAAAUCGACAUGUCAACGUGUCCAUGUUGUGUAUGUGCUACUUAGGAAUGGCCUUUAGGUUUCCAGACCUGGAAAGCAUCUGUGGUACUUCAGCCUUUAAAUCUACCAAAUUUCAAUGGAUUUUUAUAGUUCUGUCUUGGAUCUUCCUCCUUUUGAAAUACGUAUGUCUUUAUCUUUAAUUUCUCUUUGCACUUGCUGAAUUUCACCAUUCAUCCUUGCAUUCUGUCUCGCUGUAGCACUGUUUGCUAUCUCCCUAGCUACCCGUUUGUGAAUAUUCUUUUCAACUUUUGCUCAUUCCAGAAUUUCAACAAUAUUCAUUUUGUUUCAUCUAAUUCUCCAUUCUUCAUGCAGUACUUUUAAUAUUCAGAUCUGGUUUCAAAUUCUUGUUGUUUGACAAUUACAAUAUCUCUAGAUUGUCAUUCGCUUACAUCCUAUUUGUGGCUUUCUCGUAGUUCAAGAAAUUUAGGGAUUCUUGAUUUGAAUUCUUCAUAGAGAAAGCUCAUGCGAUACAAUAGCCACCUUCGGAGCACCAUUCUUACCUUGGAUUUUAGGAAAUUCAACUUCAAAAUUUGAUCCAAACUCACAUGUAGACAUUGCAAAUUAGGAUCUGUUGUAACAAUUUGCUUGCACCAGAGAUUAGGUAGAGAGAAAAUUUAGAGCAGAAGCUCUUAUUUUCACUUAAUUUUUUUUCCAGUAAUGCAAUAAUGUUCCAUUUAAGUCUGGACUUCUGAGAAUUUUUUCGAUAGCUGAAAUUCUCUCAGCAUUCAGAGUAUGAAAAUUUUUGCCAAUACAUCAAUUGUCCGAUUGUGAAGCUUUCAAAACCUUAAAAGUAGGAUUCUGAGCAUUCAAUUCGGGCAAUUCAGGAUUGAAAAGAGACACAGGAUCUCAAUCGCCAUAGGAAUUAGCGAAAGUUUCAGAGAGUUGAGGAGCAGAGGAUUACUAUAGAGAGAGAUGCAAGAGAGUAUAUUGCUGAAGAGAUAGCAGUCAUAGAGAGAGCAUUGAGACGUGGUCUCUUGAGCACCAGUGGAGAUGCAUAUCCAAGCCUUGGAUCUCUGUUAUUUUGGAUUGUAAAUCUAGUAUUGGCCAUUUGAGGGACUCAAAUUUGGAGGCGAGCCAUGUUUAAACCACUAACUUCCCCCACUUCGUCUUGUUUUUCUUACCAAAUUGAACAUUAUUCAUUAUGACGCAAUUCUUUUUGUGUUGAUUGUUGAUUGCAUUUAUUUUCAGUUGUUUGAUUUUUACAUUCGAUUAUUAGAGGCAUGAUUAAUAUAAAGGAAUUUUCCUUUUCCCCAUUUUUGAUGGGCUGUUGGCUAGUGAACCGAUCGAUUUGAACCAAUAUAAAUUGGUUCAGCUUGGUAGUUUACUUGCCUCAUCAGUUUUGGUGCUGAUUUGCCAAAAAACCUUCAAGUUUGGUUUGGUAAAAAUCUCAUACCCCGAGCAAGCCGAAUAGUUGGAUACGUGUCGGACACAUGUCCAUAUGUGUCUUAUUAUUUCUUUAUCUUUUUUUACAUCCAAACACGUUUCAGACACUUUGGAAAUACGCGUGUCCAUUGUUUAGAUACAUAAGAAACACAUUACAAGUUUGGAAAACAUAACUUGAGUUGAGGUCCAAUGACAGAUAAAAACAAUUUAGUUUUAGAUCUAUUAUUAAUCUCUUUAUUACUUUAGGAACUAGUGUCAUGUUGUAUAUUUUUUUUAAUUAUCUUUGAAAGAAAUAAUCAUAUUUAUGGUAUAUAAUAAUUGGAAUUUGGACUUUAUAUAGAUUGAUAUAUGCAGGAAAUCAGGUGUAAUUUAAAUGAGAUCGGGGUUUGAAUUUACUAAAAGCUUUGAACACUAAGGAUAUAUUGGUGGCUCAUCUGAAUCUUGUGGCCAUGGUUAAAUAUUUCGAUAUAUGAAGUCCAUGUUAUUUUUGUCAUUAGAGAAAUGUGAAAGUCAAUUAAUGCCCCUAGCUAGUUUUGGAUCUAGUCUUAGCUGAGUUGUGCUGAUUUGUUUGAAUGGUUUAUUUAUGUGUGGAUUUAGUCUUAGCAUGUUGAUUGUUUUCUGACCAAUAAUUGAUAGUUUCUUGCAAGUUGAGAAUUCAAGUAUCCUUUUCCUCCUUGUUUCUUAUCUAUUAUUUUAUAUGUCCUUUUUUCUUUCCCCUUUUUUGUUUCAGUAAUGCUUAGAGUUAUAUAAAAAAUUCUGUUAUUUUGCUUUUGAUUUGUUUGCUUGACCCAAAGAUCAGCAUGAAUUUUAUACCUUAUAUGUGCAUCCUUAGCACAAAAGUUUAUUGCAAAUUAUAUCACAUUAGAGGUUUGACAAUAGUUGUUAUGUAAACAAAUUUAUGAGUCUCACUCAUUGAUGUUAUUCUAUGAUAUCUUUAUCUCUGUACAUUUUUAAGUGACGAGGCCCAAGGGUAUCUGGGGAUUUGCUAGCGCUGCACAUUUGGUUAUGUGAUUGAUAAUUUUGACAGGGAUUGCAUAUAGCUUUUCCUGGUGUUGAAAGAGUUGUACUAUUAAUUUUAUUGUUCUUACUUGUGUGCACAUGUAUAAAUAUAAAAAAGAAGAAAAGUAAAUGAUCACUACAUCUUAAGAAAAAUCGUAAGCUCAUAUUAACUAACAUUAGGAAACAAUAUGAAGAAAAUAUUAUAAAUAUGAAAUAGAUGACCUUAAGCUCUAUAUGAUCAGAAGAUAUGACUUCAGGCCCAGUUAAGAUUCAAGUAAAUUUAAAGGGUUUAUCAGUACAUUAAUUUUUUUUUAUUCUAUGUAUAUUUCCCUUUCUAUACACACACACGUUAAUAGUGGUGAGGAACUAUUGUGUAGUUAUCUUCAACACAAAACAUUCACAUUGUUUUCUGGAUAUGAAUUUUCUUUAUUGCAGAAUGUUUACUUAGUUUUGCGGGUAAAUUGAGAUUUGGUGAACUUACACUCAGACCCACAAUUUUGGCAUAAUUACACCGGCACCCUUCUAGUAUCGCAUUUCGUAUUUUCAAUUACACCAAUUUCUGUCAAUUGACUGUUGGUCUUCUAACUAGUAGACCGUGGCGCGAGGAAAAUUUGUGAUAUGCUAUUUAGUCAUUUCAUUGAUAUACAAAAUUAUAUAUAAAAUACAUAUAACUCGGAAUUAGAAAAAGUUAAUCACUCACAAACUUUAAUUAGAGCAAUUAUUAGCUCACCUCUCUUCCUCUUCCUCUUCCUCUUCUUUUUCCUCAGUUCCAAUCUUUAUAGUUAUAUUAAACUCCCCACCAAUGGUCACCAAAUCAAAAAGUGAAAUGAAAUCGCCAUCGCCAGUUAGAAGAUUGUCAUCCUUGUCUUCCACCGAAUCCUUGACAGUAGCCACCGAGAGGUUCUGAUUUUGAAUGUUGUGAUGGCUAAUUCUGAGUUUUUUCAUGGUUGAUUUUUAUUUUGGCUCAGCACUGGGUGGGAGGAACAGGGGUUUGGAUGUGGGUUUAGAGGGUGGGUCAGCGUUGGACAGCAGGUAAGAGGGGUGCAUCAGCACUGUAAGGGAGGAAUGGGAGGCUGGGAAGAGAGUGGGUUGGUGUUGGAAGAGAGGGAAAGGGGUGUGUCGCUGCCAGGAGGGAGGAACAGGGGUUAGAUUGGGGGAAGAGGGCUGUGUUGCUGUUGUGAAGGAGGAAGAGGGGUGCAUUGCCACAUUUGGUACACCAACAUUAGGGGUGUGAGUAUUUCAUGAAGGUAAUAUGCUCAUGGAGUCUGAGAGAUGAAAGGGUGCAUUACUUUGAAUUAAACCAAUCUAGAAUUUGAAAUUCAUAUUUGAAGUGGUGGUAGGGUUGUGUCUGCUAGAGGCGGAACGCUCUUUAUUGACCUUUAAAGCGUGGAUAUUGAGAGGGAUUAUUUAUAUAUUUUUAUUAGAAUGUUAA
This is a non-coding RNA of Camellia sinensis, 6277 nucleotides long. The record is from RefSeq and is a predicted model, not a curated record. Lineage: Eukaryota; Viridiplantae; Streptophyta; Magnoliopsida; Ericales; Theaceae.